AGUGGCGCACGGGUGAGUAACGCGUGGGAACCUGCCCUGGGGUGGGGGAUAACCGAUGGAAACGUCGGCUAAUACCGCAUACGUCCUGAGGGAGAAAGAUUUAUCGCCCGAGGAGGGGCCCGCGUCGGAUUAGCUAGUUGGUGGGGUAACGGCCUACCAAGGCGAUGAUCCGUAGCUGGUCUGAGAGGAUGAUCAGCCACACUGGGACUGAGACACGGCCCAGACUCCUACGGGAGGCAGCAGUGGGGAAUAUUGGACAAUGGGGGAAACCCUGAUCCAGCGACGCCGCGUGUGUGAAGAAGGCCUGCGGGUUGUAAAGC
This 320-nucleotide ribosomal RNA is filed under the name uncultured bacterium. RNAcentral's name for it is "bacterial SSU rRNA". It matches the Rfam family "Bacterial small subunit ribosomal RNA", at positions 94 to 431 of the family's 1533-position model. The record is from RNAcentral.